UGUAGCAGUGAGAGUUAAUGGUGUCUCAUGUGACGGCUAGAGGCGAAAACCAUUCUGCAUCCAUGUAGAUUGCUGAGAUUGCUGAGAUUGCUGAGAAGGCGCCUAUAGCAAGCGUCCAUCCAAGUAGUGGCUCCUGACUAGAGCCCCACCCCUUGGCCUUUGACCGGCAUUACAGCCUUCCAGGGCCCUGACAACACACGAAUUCCAGCAGUUCCAGAGAAGCAGUUCCAGAGGAGAGUACAUCUCCCCUUAUCCUCAACAAAAGGCUAGAAUGUUAGGUUGAAAGGAAAUGGGGACCCCACUGGAAGACCCAUACCUCAUCAUCCUUACUACACCCUGCUGCUGUCAAGGAAGACCGUAGCCACACCUGGAUGCAUCACUUUCAGAUCAGGUGCGUCACAGGGGAUGAUGACCCUGCUGCAGAAAAAUGGACUGUCAUCAAACCCCGAGAAGAUCCACUGAAGAUAAGACUCCCGAGUAGCUGUCACAUCAUGUAUUAGUUAUAGAGUAAUAAUGUUUUGUCUAUGUUCCCUCCCUCUUUUAUGGAGUAUCUGUCUAGACCCCCUUGCCAUAGAUGUCUCACAACUCCUGGGCACCACUUGUCAGGUGGGCAUUCCUUUCUUCACCUCUGGGUUGAAACUCUUUGGUUUGCAUGUGAUUACAUCCCUACUUUUA
This is a non-coding RNA of Mus caroli (Ryukyu mouse), 675 nucleotides long. NCBI's taxonomy places the organism in Eukaryota, Metazoa, Chordata, Mammalia, Rodentia, Muridae. The record is from RefSeq and is a predicted model, not a curated record.